CCUACGGGUGGCAGCAGUGGGGAAUAUUGCACAAUGGGGGAAACCCUGAUGCAGCGACGCCGCGUGAGUGAAGAAGUAUUUCGGUACGUAAAGCUCUAUCAGCAGGGAAGAAAAUGACGGUACCUGACUAAGAAGCCCCGGCUAACUACGUGCCAGCAGCCGCGGUAAUACGUAGGGGGCAAGCGUUAUCCGGAUUUACUGGGUGUAAAGGGAGCGUAGACGGCAGCGCAAGUCUGGAGUGAAAUCCCAUGGCUUAACCAUGGAACUGCUGUGGAAACUGUGCAGCGAGAGUGCAGGAGAGGUAAGCGGAAUGCCUAGUGUAGCGGUGAAAUGCGUAGAUAUUAGGAGGAACACCAGUGGCGAAGGCGGCUUACUGGACUGUAACUGACGUUGAGGCUCGAAAGCGUGGGGAGCAAACAGGAUUAGAUACCCUGGUAGUC
Molecule: ribosomal RNA, 440 nt
Filed under: uncultured bacterium
Lineage: Bacteria
Description: partial 16S ribosomal RNA
Rfam family: Bacterial small subunit ribosomal RNA
Source: RNAcentral